This is a non-coding RNA of Dermacentor albipictus, 1476 nucleotides long. The record is from RefSeq and is a predicted model, not a curated record. Lineage: Eukaryota; Metazoa; Arthropoda; Arachnida; Ixodida; Ixodidae.
GAGUCCAUUGCAAACCGUUAAAUGAGGGGCAGCGAGCUUUAUCGUAAAGGAAGAGAACGAAGAAGAGUGAGGAACGCGAAGGAGCAGCAUCCUGCAACAGAGCAGCAAAUCCGGUGCCCUCAGAUAGCCCGUCAAGAACCUGUACAACGAUGUGUCUUUGUGAUACACCUGGCAGUGUGAUGGUGUUGGGAGUUUUGUGCCUCGUACUGCUGCUUUGCGCAUCGAUUCAAGCGCAAGCCCCGGACAUGUGCAUCGUCGGAUCGGCUGCUGACGCGGCCGGUAUCAGCGUUGGAACGUUGGACGGCCUCAAACCCGGAUGCCAUGGAACGACGCCUAUUGUCUGGGACAAGCCUAUAAAGCUGGCACCUUUGGGAGUCGGCUUCAGUGGGCACGGCAGCACCGCAACCGCCAUGCCGUCUAAUCAGCGAUUUUUGUUCCUCGAGCAGAUAGGCAACGUGCUUCAAUUGAUUUAUGUAUUCGUCUUGGCGGAGGUAUUGGAGGCCUUAUAUCCACACCUCGCUACCAAAGAAGCAAGCGCACUUGACUGGGCAAUCAUAGUAGCUUUGAUUGCAUUCAAUGUAGGAAGUUGUGUUCUUUCGAUCGGCCUGAUAUGGGGAGCGAAUUCUGUAGACCGUGGCCUCCUUAAAAAAGUUGUGAUUGGGACCAAAAUACGGCUCAUCGUUUUGAUCUUUUACUCAGCGUUUACAGUUUACGUUCUAUCAACACGAGAUCCCCAAGACCCGCUAGGAAUAGGCAAGGCUAAGUUAAUUGAGCACCGGUCAAUGGGAAGCGACUCGUGGGUCAUGGGCAAGUAUGGGAACCUGGACCCAAAAACUAUGGUGCUGCAGAGCAUCAAUUUCCUACCGGGCCCUCAUGUAUUGUGGUUGGCUCAGAAAAAUCCGGACAACAAGCGUACAUAUAAAAAGCACGACAAGAAGGACAAGGAAGAUGAAGAGAAUAAACAGCGCCAGAAGUUUUGUUACCUCCAACCUGCCUCCUGCUUCAUCAACGCCGAUAAACACCUUGAAGAGACUUUGGUCGACUUCAAGGAGAAAAGAACAAUCAAAAACUUAACUGGCGCAGCCGACAGGAUCGGCGAGCUCUACAACAUCGAAUCCUGGACCAGUGGUGAGAAGAUCAAGUCAUCCAACGACCACCUCCUGCACCUUUGAGAAGAUCCCACAGCAGCCAAGCCCGGCACCGUGGAGGAGAUCCGAAAACGACAGUGCAUUCAGCAAAGGGUCCAAUUCCUGGUAUAUGCUGUAGGGAAAGAGAUCAUGUGCUUUUUCCUUGAGCUGUUCAUCGUCUACAGACUGGACCUAUUCGUCAAGAGCUUACCCCAGUAACCGGACAAAGGCUUCCCCAGGGCGAGCCUCGCACACAGCGCGGCACGAUCUCCUAUUCACCCGCGAAAUCCAGGAUUUUGCUUUUAAAUAACAAAUUCAAGGCCGCACGUCAUCCUUAUGAUUACUUAAA